This 1486-nucleotide ribosomal RNA is filed under the name uncultured bacterium. RNAcentral describes it as "16S ribosomal RNA". It matches the Rfam family "Bacterial small subunit ribosomal RNA". The record is from RNAcentral.
CUGGCUCAGGAUGAACGCUAGCGGCAGGCUUAACACAUGCAAGUCGAGGGGCAGCGGGGAGGAAGCUUGCUUUCUCCGCCGGCGACCGGCGCACGGGUGAGUAACACGUAUGCAACCUGCCCCUGUCAGGGGGACAACCCGCCGAAAGGCGGGCUAAACCCGCGUACAUGCCACCGGGGCAUCCCGGAGGCAGGAAAGGCUUCGGCCGGACAGGGAUGGGCAUGCGGCGCAUUAGGCAGUAGGCGGGGUAACGGCCCACCUAACCGACGAUGCGUAGGGGUUCUGAGAGGAAGGUCCCCCACACUGGUACUGAGACACGGACCAGACUCCUACGGGAGGCAGCAGUGAGGAAUAUUGGUCAAUGGUCGGGAGACUGAACCAGCCAAGCCGCGUGAGGGAUGAAGGUACAGAGUAUCGUAAACCUCUUUUGUCAGGGAACAAAGGCGGGGACGUGUCCCCGGAUGAGUGUACCUGAAGAAAAAGCAUCGGCUAACUCCGUGCCAGCAGCCGCGGUAAUACGGAGGAUGCGAGCGUUAUCCGGAUUUAUUGGGUUUAAAGGGUGCGCAGGCGGUCUGUUAAGUCAGCGGUCAAAGCCCGGGGCUCAACCCCGGCCCGCCGUUGAAACUGGCAGUCUCGAGUUGGAGAGAAGUAUGCGGAAUGCGCGGUGUAGCGGUGAAAUGCAUAGAUAUCGCGCAGAACUCCGAUUGCGAAGGCAGCAUGCUGGCUCCACACUGACGCUGAGGCACGAAAGCGUGGGUAUCGAACAGGAUUAGAUACCCUGGUAGUCCACGCAGUAAACGAUGAAUGCUGGCUGUCCGGGGGGGAUUGACCCCUGGGUGGCGAAGCGAAAGCGAUAAGCAUUCCACCUGGGGAGUACGCCGGCAACGGUGAAACUCAAAGGAAUUGACGGGGGCCCGCACAAGCGGAGGAACAUGUGGUUUAAUUCGAUGAUACGCGAGGAACCUUACCCGGGCUCAAACGGGGAGUGACUCAGGCAGAGACGCCUGUUUCCCACGGGACACUCCCCGAGGUGCUGCAUGGUUGUCGUCAGCUCGUGCCGUGAGGUGUCGGCUUAAGUGCCAUAACGAGCGCAACCCCCGCGUGCAGUUGCUAACAGAUAACGCUGAGGACUCUGCACGGACUGCCGGCGCAAGCCGCGAGGAAGGCGGGGAUGACGUCAAAUCAGCACGGCCCUUACGUCCGGGGCGACACACGUGUUACAAUGGGUGGUACAGCGGGAAGCCAGGCGGCGACGCCGAGCGGAACCCGAAAUCCACUCUCAGUUCGGAUCGGAGUCUGCAACCCGACUCCGUGAAGCUGGAUUCGCUAGUAAUCGCGCAUCAGCCAUGGCGCGGUGAAUACGUUCCCGGGCCUUGUACACACCGCCCGUCAAGCCAUGGGAGCCGAGGGCGCUUGAAGUGCGUCGCCGCGAGGCGCGCCCUAGAGCGAAAUCGGUGACUGGGGCUAAGUCGUAACAAGGUAGCCG